This 251-nucleotide long non-coding RNA is filed under the name Mus pahari (shrew mouse). RNAcentral's name for it is "predicted gene 42558 (MGP_PahariEiJ_G0032965.1)". The record is from RNAcentral. Lineage: Eukaryota; Metazoa; Chordata; Mammalia; Rodentia; Muridae.
GAAGUUAUGAGAAUUUACUUGAAGGUAGAAUAAUUGUUGCUAGAGGCUGAAGAGAGGAGAUUGGUAGAAAUCGCCAGAACAGAAGGGGCACAUUCUGCUGUCUGCAUCACAGUGGCCUGACCACAGUUCACGUGGCCUGGUAGGCAUUCGAUGACGUCACUGCGGCAUAGGUUCACUUCUGGUGCGAUCCCCUUUGCGCAUCUCCCUUGUCCCACCACGUCUACAUUCUAGCCGAGUUCUCCACUGUCUUC